AGAGUUUGAUCAUGGCUCAGAUUGAACGCUGGCGGCAUGCCUUACACAUGCAAGUCGAACGGUAACAGGUCUUCGGAUGCUGACGAGUGGCGAACGGGUGAGUAAUACAUCGGAACGUGCCCGAUCGUGGGGGAUAACGGAGCGAAAGCUUUGCUAAUACCGCAUACGAUCUACGGAUGAAAGCAGGGGACCGCAAGGCCUUACGCGGACGGAGCGGCCGAUGGCAGAUUAGGUAGUUGGUGGGAUAAAAGCUUACCAAGCCGACGAUCUGUAGCUGGUCUGAGAGGACGACCAGCCACACUGGGACUGAGACACGGACCAGACUCCUACGGGAGGCAGCAGUGAGGAAUAUUGGACAAUGGGCGCAAGCCUGAUCCAGCCAUGCCGCGUGCAGGAUGACGGUCCUAUGGAUUGUAAACUGCUUUUGUACGAGAAGAAACACUGCUUCGUGAAGCAGCUUGACGGUAUCGUAAGAAUAAGGAUCGGCUAACUCCGUGCCAGCAGCCGCGGUAAU
This 514-nucleotide ribosomal RNA is filed under the name uncultured bacterium. Its description in RNAcentral is "bacterial SSU rRNA". It matches the Rfam family "Bacterial small subunit ribosomal RNA", at positions 8 to 524 of the family's 1533-position model. The record is from RNAcentral.